This is a long non-coding RNA of Gallus gallus (chicken), 10918 nucleotides long. RefSeq lists it as uncharacterized. The transcript has 2 exons. The record is from RefSeq and is a predicted model, not a curated record. NCBI's taxonomy places the organism in Eukaryota, Metazoa, Chordata, Aves, Galliformes, Phasianidae.
GAUAAAAUAAUUUUUUUAAAGUUGUUAGUCAGAAAAUAGGAGGAAGCCACUUGCUCUGGCACUUUUCUGCCUCUGCACUGAAACAUGGGACAGCAGCUGCUUCAGAGCUGCCCCCACCGUGGGCAAAGGGAUUCAUCUGCACUUAAAACAUUCAGUGCACAGAAAAUGGAAUAGCAGCAUCUCCUUUCAUUUCCAUGCCCACCGACACACACUCAAACAGAGCGCUAUGCUUUUCCACAGUAUCUCACAGUACAUUUCUUUAUCUCUACUUUUCUCCCUCCUUCCUUCAUUAAGUCCUUCUUUAAGACUUAUUUUUCCUUGUGUUUAUUUUGGAACAUAUGAGGUGACCAAAUCUUUCUCCCUUUGUCUCUCAUCAGAGCCUUCAUUGCUUUACAUCCAUUGGGAAGAACUGAUCCAGUUAUCUCCCAAAUUGCAUUUCAGGAGCUGGCAAGCCUGACUUCACAGAUAAACUGGAGAGCACCCCAACUGAUGUAAAUGCAGGACACAGCUUUUUCUGCUUCAUUCGGCAGUAGAUGAUGAUUACUCAAUUUUGCUACAACAUUGAUUGCUACCAGAGGGAUCAGUGUGCUUUGCCAUCAUUUCCAAUAUUCAGUUGUUAUGUAGCGAUUGUUGUUGUCUAUUAUUUUAUGUUAGGGCAGCAAUUAGUACUCUCAGAGAUUGAUGCCUCUCAUCAGCACGCAAAAGACAGUUUCUCUUCCAUGUUUCUCACAGACUAAACAUAAGACAAGAGACAACAGAUAAAUCCAUCAAGCAGCCCAGAUACUGGAGAAAUGAUUAUUGAUGCAAUGAGUCACAGCAGUGCCUUAUUAUAAUUUCUGCAGGCUCUUUCUUUCUGGCUGCAGAAGACAGAAGCCCUUCGUUUGAUUUUCUUUCAUUUGGAGUAUAACAUGCUCCCUCUCCAUCAGAUCUACACUCUCAUUAUAUCUCAACAUCUGAUUCAAGAUUGGUGAAUGUAGUAAUGCAUCCCUCCCUGGAAAGGAGAUACAUUUUUAUAAAACAGCAAAAUCAGUAUUUUUCAGGACAACACUGACUACCCAAUUUCUAUUUAGUGGAAGUAUUUGGGUAGAUAUAAAGCCUACAUAACCCUGGACAGUGAUGUACUCUACUUGGUUGAAGGCAUACUCCUUUAGUAUUUUCAGAUGUCUCCAUUUUACUGUCAUCAUGAACUCUGCAGGCUUGGAUAACUCUGCUAGCACCCUCACAGUGCUGCAGAGGUCCUUAGGGAUAGGCUGCCGAAGAACCUUGAUGUAAUGGUAUGUACAUUUGCUUGUGUAAUGGUGUGUACAGUCCUGUGAGCUGUGAAAAAUAUGCGGUCAUGCUUUUCCAUUCUGAUAAAGAAAUUUGGUUUCAAGAUUGCAAAAAAGUUGUCACUUUUUUUGGCAUAUUUGCCAUUUUCAGUCAACGGAAAGACAUGACCUGCAAAUUUUCAAAUGGAAUGUGUAAAGUUGCAAUCAGACAGACAUUCGACUCAAAAAUCAGAUCAUGUCUCUCUACUGGACUUCUGUAAGACCUGUCUUAUCAGAGAGAAAUAUUCCUUGCUUCACUGUCACUCCUUAUUCUUGUCAUCACUCUUUGGCAGUAUGCACAUUUGUGAACACCUGUUUCAAGGAUGAGGUACUGGAAGAGUAAAAUCCCACCAAAGAUCUCUGACAAACAUCUUAAGAUCUGACUAAGAAUCACAGCCGCUGCCAUUGAACCAGACUGAUGCAUUAGUCUUACAAAAACAAGGUCACAUAUCCCAAUAAUUUUAUGGUUUUGUUGCUCUUCUUUUUCAUGUUUUAAUUUAAAAAAAAAUGUUUUGUUAAUAUAAAUUAACUAUAGUAUACAUUUUAUGAGGGCUGAUCCAAAAGCAGUCCCUUCUAUUUCAUUACGUUGGCCCAUGAUGUCAGAGGUGGAUGUUGGUGGUACCAUCCUUCCAAUAUUCCAUAGCAUUUUGUUGCUGUGUUACAGAUGGCAGCAGAGGGACAGUGACAAAAUGGCAUCUGACAUGGAAGUGUGGAUGAAGAAAAGGAGUGUCAUUGAAUUCAUCCAUGAAGAAAACGCUGCAUCCACUGACAUUCCUUGACUCUUGCUGAAUGUUUCUGGAGACCAAACAGUGGAUGUGAGCAUAGUGAGGCAGUGGGUAGUAGCAGUGGCAAUAGUGACAGUGGAUUACCUCUGCUGGUGUAGCUUUUCCAAGCACAGCACGCAGCUCUCGUUCUUCGCUUAUGAAAAUGUAUAGCUAAUGAUGGUGACUAUGUUGAAAAACAACAUUUUGUAGCUCUAUCAAACAACUGUUGUUCUAUCAAACAGUGUUACUAUGCUCACUGUAUCCGUUAUAGUGCCCAUGGAAAUAAAUAAAAGGCAUUGCUUUCAGAGCAACCUAUAAAUAUGUAGCCCAAGACAAUUUCUCUUCACUCCAUGUGGCCAAGGCAAGACAAAAGGUUGGACAUCCGUGGUUCAACUGAUAAAUUGGCCACUUCACUGCCGAGUUCAUAGAAUCAUAUUACUUUGCUUUGCCAGGGACUUGGUAAAAUUGCUCAUCCGGACACAGUAGAGGUUUAGAGAGAGCAUUCAAUCAGGAGCUGUGCUUGCUGCUUGCUUUUGGGUUGUUGUUCCUAUCACACCUCCUGCUUUGGUACACAAGGCAGAAAUGAGUGAAAACUGGGAGAGCAGUCUAGAGGACGUGAAGCUCAUCAUUAUAUAGGCACACUUAUUGGGGAGGGGAAUAUUUAUUUGUUUUCACUUUUUCAAAAGGAAAAGGUAAAAUUUAAGAAUACUUUAUUUCAAAGGCAGGCCUAUGCUAAAAAGCCAGGUUGGGAUACUCUGGAGCAGCAAGUCACUGCAGUGAAUACUUCUCACUGUAAGGACAGAUCUUUAGAGACAGUCUGCAGGAACUCCAUCACUGAGCCCACUAUGGAGCACUCAGAUGAACACCUGCUUGGAGGGGUUGAGCAUCACCUGCCUGGUUUUGGAGCUGGGAGUUGGACCAGAUCACCUCUCCCUGUAAUUCUGUGGUAGCAUGACUCCAGAGAGCACACCUCUGCUUGCAAUUAGGAUGAUUCAAUUAGUAUCACUCCCCUAAAUUCCCAUGGCCACUUCUGCCAUCCUCAAUUCAUCCUUAGCCUUCAAGUGCCUGCUGUAAUUAACUGGCUGUUAUUGAGGUGUUUUACUUCAGAAAGAGUGGGAAAAGCUGAGAUGGGAAAAGUUAUUUGAGAAGAAAAUAGAACAGGAAGAGUCAAAUGCCCGGUACAGGCAGACUCAGCCCAGAAGUCAGGUAGGGAAAGUGGCUUAAAUCCCUUCCUGCUCUGGGUUUAUGAAGGCUUCCAGGUCAGUGAUUUAUGCUGGCCUUGCUGGCUUGAUCUGUGCCACAUCUCAGGGCAUGCUCAUGCCUGAUCUCUGUUCCACCAGGACUCACUGCUCAUUCCCAUGUGAGGAGAGCCUGUUGGCAGUGCAUCUAUCCCUGUGGCCAGGUGACAAAAGAGGGCCUAACUUCUAUUUAAACAAAAAUGAUACAGCUUGCUUGCAUUAAUCUCCAGUUACCAGACCAGCCUGCUGUGUCCCCCAUCUCUGUCCUUGACAUCAGCUCUCCCCAUCUCUGCUGUUGCCUCUGAGACCCUGUACAUGCCACAACACAGCCAAGCCACCAGCCCAGCCCAGCCUAGCUGACCAUGACAAAGCUUUGAGAAGCAACCACGUUGCAAAUCAUAUUUUUCUUCCCCUCUCCCUCUCUCCUUUUUUUUAAUGGGAAGGUUGGAGAUGAUGGUGUGUGGCAUAGGGAUGGUCCUGCUAGGAAGCAAAGUGCCUAUGUGGAUGGAUGCUCAGAAGGAAAGGGUAUUUCACCCCCAUGGACACAUUUACAAAUGUGAAGUGAGAGUUGGGACAGAAGGAAAACAGAUGACUUUGAGUGGCUAGGUUCAUUUUGCUGUUCAAAACUGUGAAGUUGUCCCUCACUGUGCCAGGUUCCUUGCAGCUCUGUGCCUAAUUACACUGGAUCAUGCUCAGAAGGCUGCCUUGCUCCUGCCUAUUAACAUCUGGGUUUCGUGGCUGAAGUCUUCUUUCCUUCCCUACCCGGUGCUCCUGCACUGUGUCUAUCUUCUCCUUGCCUCGGUUUUAUGUUUUGCCUGGCCUUCCCCAGGAAACAAGUCAUUUGUUUUCUGUGAAAGCGCUGCCCGAGGAAAGAGAUCUGGACUUCUACACCUUUUGUUAUGUUUUAGCCAAGCCAUUCAUCGUGACUGAACAAAAGUUGGCCUUUUUUGAGAAGAAUGAUUUUUCAUGUGUGACAACCUUUUUAAUACAUUGCAAUUGUGCAAUGUAUUAAACCUCAAUAUAAUUUUAGAGCCAUUUAGGGUGGCUUUGCUGGCUGUUUUUCAGGAAAAAAAAAUCUGGGAGGAAGAGUUAUAUUUCCUCAUCAGAUUGCCACGAGCCCAAAGUCUGUUUCCCAAUGGGUACUAUUCCACCUUCUCAGAAUAAAUCACUUAAGUGAAAUGAUCUCUGUACCUUCAAUAUUAUUCAGAUUUUUCUAGUCGGAGUUAUUGACAUUAAAAUGUGAAUCACUUAGAUGAGAUUACUCAGAUUAAGUUACAAGUUAGUAAAACUUUGCAAUAGUGACUUUCUUUGUUCUGGAUUCACAGAGCAUAAAGCAGUCCCACGCCAUGCCCUGGGCACUUUGAAGCCUGGAGCUAUUGCUGACCCUUUUUAGUGCUGAGAAUCUGCUUCUCCAGCCUACAGCCUCGAUGGUAGAAGACUGCAGGUCCCUGUUUGUGCACGGGUUGGGCAGUGGCAGGAGCUUCAUCCUCUGGGAUACACAGUUGACUUACUUCUCAUCACUGAACUCCAAAGAAUUCCAUCACUCUCAUCCUGCUGCAUCCUGACCACCUAAAAAAUGGCUUUCCAUGGGAAGGAGGUUCGUGUAAGGACUUCUGUAACACGGGAACCUGGUUGGCCCUCUCACUGGACCCUCACACCCGCAUUCUUGACUACCAUGGAGCUCUGAAGACUUCAAAGUGUGCCCAGCACUUUUCCUGAACUCCCUGCCAUGUCUAAUUUUUGACCCUUCCUCUGAGAAAUGAGUCCACUAGCGAAGAGAAGAUAAUUCUGCUCAUUUGGUCUCUUGAGAUUCCCACUAAGGGGAAGAAUAACAAUCCAGCAACAGCUUCACUGAUCUGCAUAGAAAAUUCAGGCUGCUUUUUUUUGCUGACCCUACUGGCUUGCCAUAUACAGCUGUAAAACUUUAUGCUAGUAAUCCAAAAAGGCAGCUGGAAUUUUUAGUCACAGGCUGUCAAAUGUCAUGUUCAUACCACAUUGGAUUAAAUGAUAAUAGGAGAAUAAUUCUUUUAGUAAAAUAUUUAAGACAUAUUGAAGUAUAAGCUUUGUGAAACAAAUUCAUAGGAAUUUUACAGCUUCAGAGCAAAAGUAGAUAAUGAAUUUUAGAGCAGAGUUUUUUUUUUGUUUUGUUUUGUUUUAAAAAAAGGUCAAUAUUGAUAGUUCAGCAGAUGUGUCCUAGUGGUGUUGCACAUGGCUCAGCUCCUAGUGAAAGACCACCAGGUCAUUCAUUUGGACAAUGAGCACACUAAACAUCUGCUAUGUCAUUAUGUCCCCUGCUGUUGUGCAUCACUCACCUUUCUCUCUUCUGUAUAGCUGUAGCCUGCGCAUGAAUAUGGAGUGAAAAGCAUAAUUUAGAUUACUGUGCCCAGUGUCUUUUACUGCAUUUGACCAUUCAAUAGUUGUUCAGCCACAAAGGAGCCACAAAAACUUGCCAACUCCCUGUAACAAUUUGCAGAUCGAUAGCACACUGUUACACAUCAAAGCGACAGCUGACUGGUCAAGUGCUUUACUACUGAUUUGUAUUUUCUAACACAAGAGCAUUUAUGCUCUUAGUUAUCAUAACAAGGUAGGUAGAUGACAUUCAACCAUCCUGACUGAUAUAAUUUUGAGGAAAAUCAAACCCUCUGCAAACCCAGAUGUGUCAGGUAUACACAGAUCUUCUGUGUAGACCUUGAAGGCAGCUGAGUGAUUUGUGUUUCAAGAGAAGCACCAAUGUAGCUUGUCCAGGCUCUAGCUGCGACUUACCUCUGAUGCUUCAGGUGGGAGCUAAACAAAUCAGAGUUCAAGUUUCUCUGAAGAAGGGAAAUAAAAAGUCUGCAUUUCUUGACCUAAAAGUCCAAGAAAAGCUUGAGGCAUGAAAUUAUACAGUUGAUGAAUAAAUGAACACAACAGACAAGCCUAACCUCCUUCUUCUGGAGACCAAUGACAAAAGUACUCAUCACAAGCUUAAACUCCUGAUACCAGGGCUUCAUCCUUAGCCAGGUCCCAGGUGCAUAGAGCUGCAAAUCUCUAUUUUACAUCUGAUCAGCAUCUCUGUCUCCCCUGGUCAGCCGAGACUUCAGCUCACCCCUGUUCAUUGAUUUGAAAAUAUACUCCGUAGUCUAUGAGUUUGCUUUGCAUUUUGUUUAUUAUAAUCUUAAGCAGAAGGAAUUUUGCUAGUUGUAUAAAAGUCACAGAACAUCUAUCUGGUGUAUGGGUGCAAGAGAGAUAGGAGGUUCUUUCUUAAGGUUUUUGAAAAUGUUCCUUGUUCCUGAGAGGGAGCACAUACCUGGAUGGUUAAAUUACAUGGCAAAAGGCUGUCAUCUGUUUUAGUGAUCAUCUUCCAAAAAUGUAGGCAUGUUUGCAUUGGGAGAUCUCAGGCACAGCUUAGCUGGUAGAAGAUAGCCCGUAUCCUCAAGCAUGCAUGUUAAACUCUGUGCAGCUGUUGAGAUUUCCCACACACAAUGAGCAAAGUUGGAUGCGGUGCUCCGAAACAUCUUUCCCUCCUUUGGAAUCAGAACACGUGAGGCACUUCUGACCUGAGGGACCCACAUCCCUAAUCAGGCUGAGAAACAGUUGCAUCCAUUGGCCAUAAGCAUCAUUUUGAUUCAUACGUUUUGCUUUGAUUCCAAGGGAGAAAUGCACAUGUACAAAAGAUAGAAAUAUUUCCUCCUUUUGGAUGUUCCUAAUACAGUUUAUAGAUUUUUUUUUUUAAUUGACUUUGAAUAAACUCUAGCCCAAUUUACAUGGUUGGAUUCUGAUAAAAUGGUAUGUCUUUAGAAACAUUGCAACAGUCUACCGUGGAACGUUUUUAUAUGUUUUUUCAUAAUACUGUGCAUAAGACAAAACUAAAUUUGCUCUGGUUCCUCGGUGGCUUUUUUUUAUUAAAGGAUGUAAGAUUCCAGUGUUUACAUAAUAACUUACAGCUGCUGAGAAGCUAUUUUAGUCAGUGCAUACACUGAGCUUACAGUUACUGUCUCCAAAUACCUGUGGUCUAGCCACUUACUUCAGUCUGCUGAUCACUUAGCUGGAAUAAUCCACCCAUCGCUACGCUUUCGGCUCCCUCCGGCCUGACAAGAACCAAAUGCGGAGCCAUUCGGGGAAACCCAACCCAGCUGCUGUCUCCUCACAGCCCGUGGCUGGAGGUGCCCACCACCCGCGGUCUGGCUGCGGGGACAGGGCUAUCACACCGUGUUGGGGCCAGCUGGGAGCUGGGGUGAAGGACACAUCACCCCCAAACCCACUUUUGCUGAGAGAGGGGCACAGAUCUCGGCUUGAGCCCUGCCCUGAGGCCUGCAGCUCACGCACCCGGCUGGUGCGAGGCAGGCAGCAGGCAGGAGGGAGGUGGCAGAUUGUUUUAAAUACAAUUUAUUAAUUUCUGUGUGGGUUACAUGCAGUCAUUAUUCUGUCUCUUUUUUUUUUCUUUUUCUCCCACUGACUUAAGGGAAAGUGCAUGUCCUGACACGAGUGCAACCCGGUGCUGCUUGUUUGGUUAUUUAAUGGUGAUUUUUUCUGACAGAAAAACCUUUUCAUUCAAUUUGAUCAUUGCUACUAAAAUUGCUUCAUGUCUUCAAUAUCCAAGUCAGUCUGCUUGCCAAGAAAGCAUGUCUUUCUCGAUGCUGUCUAACGAGAACCACAGAUUAAUUUAUAUGCUUAUUUCUCCCAAUUAUUAUUUCUGAUUUUGUUGUGAGAAAAUUCACCACUCAGUCUAGGAUUUCACUAAGGCUUUUUUUUUUUUUUUUUUUUUUAAUCCAGUUCUUUUAAUGAGCAUUGGAAACAGCCUAGGAAACAAUGAUAGAAGGUAAAUCCCUUUUAAACAACAAAAAAAGUGUAUGUAGCUGAGUUAUCUGCUGCCUCUGCUGGGGUGAGUGGGGCUGUAAUGCUUUUGUGUACGAAUUGCUUUGGGAUAAUAAUGUUUUCUACUUGCUUAUACAUUUUUCAUCAGACAAAUCAGGCGAAAAGGUUGUAUCACACAGAUCUGUGACUGGAGCUGCUUUCCUGUCCUGCAGCUGCAAGUGGAAGAUGAAACACAUUUUCAUACUUGGAGAAAAAGGGUCAGAGUUAGAGGGAGAAAAUGGUAUGAAAGUGCAAAGCCUUGCAUGUAAGUAGGUAGCCCCUAAAGCAGGUGCUAACAAGACCUUCUUGACAACCACUGAGUUUUGUGUAGCAGAGGAGAAGAUACAGCUGAAAGAAAAGAAAGAGGCAAGGAAUGGCAUUGUGCUGUAUCUGACUGGGAUUACAGUAGCUGAAUGACUCAUUGUUAUAAAAUAUGGGUAACAGAGCGUCCUUUCAUGUCUCUCGAUGCAGAUUGAAUGCAGUCCUGACCAAGAUGACAAAAUUCAUUUUGAUUGAAUGCUUGUCCAUAUUUUUAAAUGAAAUGCAUGUGGGGCUAUUAGCUCAGUUCCCUGUCGAAGGCGGCUGUGCUGCACGGCCCUGCCAUAAGUUUGGCAGCCUUUGAAGCACCGGGCAUCCUCCAGAACAGACAGGAACAUUUGAAUGGGGAUAAACGUUAAACCAUUUUGUAGUUUCCCAACUCUGGGGUAGGUAUUUUUUAUAUUAAAAAAUACAUAACAAUAUAAGAGGUAAAGCAAAAAUGAAUAUACAUAAAGUGCUUUAUAAAAACAGAAAGCGAGAGGAGGACAUGGCUGGCAGGGAUCCUGAGCUCCUCCCAUGUUGGAGGAAGACAGGAUGGGCAGGGAUGCAGACUUCCUUGUCUGAAGUAGACACUGAGCUUCAGGAUCCAAAGAAUACAAAUAAUAAAUUCUACUUUUAUUACCAUUUUAUCACAUUCUUGUUAAAGCUAAUUUACAGUUUUUCAUCCUGGAACAACCACUCCCACAAGUCCCAUCCUACUAAUUUUUUUCUCUUUAAUAUCAUUAAGAAACAACUAUGCUUAGCUGCAUGCUGAAAAGGUCACUCAUGUCCUUUGGCUGACAAAUGAGCAGGUCACCUACACAACUUCACUGAAUAAGGUUCAAAUCUUUAGAGACUCAUGGGUCUGAAUUUCAACCAAAUAUAAAUACUGCAUGACCCCUGAGCCAUUUUUUAAGGUUUUGCCAAGGAUUUACGGUAUGUUUUGUGGUUAAAGAAAGAGCUAUUGACAUGGUUACACAAAGCACUGCUAGAGUAGUCUCCAUUACCUCCAUCACUGAUAGGUGAGUUCAGAACAGAGCAGGUGAAAGCUUGGACUAGGACAAUAACCACAGAAUGGAAAACACAUCACAUAGAAGCAGUUAAAAGGACUUUGAUAGCCUUAUGUAGCACAAGAAAGUCUCAGAGAAGACACUGUUUAUUUCUUUAAGCAUGUCUCUGGGAGGAAAAGGUCUUUUCUUCUGAAGGGCAAGUGAGUACAAGGACAAGUGGAUAUAAAAUGGAUGCACAUGCAUUCAUGUUGGAGAAUACAAAAAGAACUAACAAUGAAACGAGCGAGAGUCUCAGCUGGACUUCUGGGAACUUACUGGGCUCUAUAACCACAGUUUGAAGCCAUUUUUUAAACUGCAUUUGUAAAGUGUAAUGAUAUGGUUGUCUACAAUUGCAAGUAAAUGACCUUAAUGUGUGAUUUAUUUUGUUUUUUAAAGCUUUUCCUAAUUAUUUAACCAAUGUUCUUAGUACCAGAAAUAGCUUCCAAAAUAGAUCAGGAGUUGAGGAGCAGGAGGAUUUCACAAUGCACUUUCUGGCUGGAAAUACUGCAGCAUUACUUCUUUUCUUUUGGAUGAAGUAAAGGUGGAACUGAGUGUAGUGCUCCUGUUGUUUCACUCUUUCUGAGGAUCACUUCCAGAUCCCACUGGUAUCAUUCUUCUGCCUACAGCUGCUUCCACAGAUUUCUCAGUGGGUGGACUCCCUCUAAAAAUUGCUUGUGCUUCUGCCAGGAUGUCUCUCAUUUUCCAACACCCCACCUUUUAAAGAAAUUCUAAGUAGUGUAUAAGAACAAUACAGAAAAGACGCUGUACUUGGAACACACUUGGAACACUGUUGAUGUUUUGUUAGUUCCUGCAGACAACCAGCUUUGCAAGAGGUAGCUCUUAUUAUUAUUAUUAAAGAGCUUUAUUAAGAACAUAAUGUUUUAUUUGUUUUUUAUAGUGUUCAUUCCUGAUCAUCCAUGCCCUAUAAAGCACUGAAGUGAAAACAAACAAAAAGAGCAGCCAAUUUUUCUACAAUGUAUUUUUUUUUAAUUCCAAGUAGGCAAAGUAUAAUAAAUCCAGGGGAAAAUUUACUAAAAUGAAGGACUUCAGACAUCUCAACUGCACUGAUCCAGCUGUGCACUCAUAGGUGUUACCAUGGGAAGAAAAGCACUACCCACCUUGCUUACCAUUUUCACUGCAGGUCUGAAAAGCAAAGGCAGAAAAUGGAGAGGUAAAUGUAUAGUCAUCUACUAGCACCAUGCACCAUGAGCACUCCAUUAAAACAAAACAAAAGAAGAAAAAGAAAGGACAUGGCUACGCCAUCCUUAUGUACACGUACAUAGCAAUAUAUUUUAUUCACAAGAAGUGAAAUGGGAACUUCAACCUCUACACAAUUAUGCUACUCACUGCCAAAAGAAAGAGAAAGGCUGUUGCACUAACAGAGACCAAGCAAGGCCAUUUUCUGCAUUACUCAACAAUAAUUUCCACAA